GCUCCAAUAGCGUAUAUUAAAGUUGUUGCAGUUAAAAAGCUCGUAGUUGGAUUUCUGGCAUGAUGCGCCUGGCCGCCUCAACUAUGAGUGUGUGUGCUAGUGCGCGUCUGCCAUCCAUUUACAGAACGGUCAUACCUUCAUUGGGCCGUGCUCGUGAUGUAAAUCUUUUACUUUGAAAAAAUUAGAGUGUUUAAAGCAGG
RNAcentral lists this ribosomal RNA (200 nucleotides) under uncultured eukaryote. RNAcentral describes it as "partial 18S ribosomal RNA". It matches the Rfam family "Eukaryotic small subunit ribosomal RNA", at positions 588 to 784 of the family's 1831-position model. The record is from RNAcentral.